GACCGCACCAUCACACUCGACCU
Molecule: non-coding RNA, 23 nt
Filed under: Arabidopsis thaliana (thale cress)
Lineage: Eukaryota; Viridiplantae; Streptophyta; Magnoliopsida; Brassicales; Brassicaceae
Source: RNAcentral